RNAcentral lists this ribosomal RNA (417 nucleotides) under Streptococcus anginosus. Its description in RNAcentral is "bacterial SSU rRNA". It matches the Rfam family "Bacterial small subunit ribosomal RNA", at positions 28 to 425 of the family's 1533-position model. The record is from RNAcentral. Lineage: Bacteria; Bacillati; Bacillota; Bacilli; Lactobacillales; Streptococcaceae.
GACGAACGCUGGCGGCGUGCCUAAUACAUGCAAGUAGGACGCACAGUUUAUACCGUAGCUUGCUACACCAUAGACUGUGAGUUGCGAACGGGUGAGUAACGCGUAGGUAACCUGCCUAUUAGAGGGGGAUAACUAUUGGAAACGAUAGCUAAUACCGCAUAACAGUAUGUAACACAUGUUAGAUGCUUGAAAGAUGCAAUUGCAUCGCUAGUAGAUGGACCUGCGUUGUAUUAGCUAGUAGGUAGGGUAAAGGCCUACCUAGGCAACGAUACAUAGCCGACCUGAGAGGGUGAUCGGCCACACUGGGACUGAGACACGGCCCAGACUCCUACGGGAGGCAGCAGUAGGGAAUCUUCGGCAAUGGGGGGAACCCCUGACCGAGCAAACGCCGCGUGAGUGAAGAAGGUUUUCGGAUCG